Molecule: ribosomal RNA, 229 nt
Filed under: uncultured bacterium
Lineage: Bacteria
Description: partial 16S ribosomal RNA
Rfam family: Bacterial small subunit ribosomal RNA
Source: RNAcentral
GAUCAUGGCUCAGGAUGAACGCUAGCUACAGGCUUAACACAUGCAAGUCGAGGGGCAGCGGGAUUGAAGCUUGCUUCAAUUGCCGGCGACCGGCGCACGGGUUAGUAACGCGUAUCCAACCUUCCGUACACUCAGGGAUAGCCUUUCGAAAGAAAGAUUAAUACCUGAUGGUAUGAUGAGAUUGCAUGAUAUCAUCAUUAAAGAUUUAUCGGUGUACGAUGGGGAUGCG